AUAAAUUGGGAAGAUCAUUAUAAAAACAGUUAAUGUUUCUUUGAAAAAUUAAACAAAUAAUAUACUAUAUGAUUCAGCAAUUUCAUUUCUGUGUCUAGAUCACAAGGGGAUGUAAUCAUUGAAUUGAAGAGGUAUCUGCAUCCUCAAGUGUCGCCAGCCGCAACGUCAGAAUCCUGCCAGCAGGUCCCAAACCUGAGGGAAGAACAACAGGAGAGCAGUUUCACAAAUUUAGUUCCAGGCUCAUGCUCUACUGCAGCAAGGCCCCGUUUAUUUUUCAAGGACACCAGAGAACAUUGCAAACCAGAUCAGAUCAUACUCUUCCCUUAACAUCUGCAGUGGCUUGAAGCAUCUCCAGAAUACCACCUAACCCCUUCAUGCCUCAUCUCUGCUGUUCUGUCUACCUUGGAAGGAAUGUACAUCUUCCUCAGACUAGUUCCCACUCCUACAACAGAGGGAGGUGAGUGUGGCCCCUGGGACAACUGGUGGAAUCAAGAUUCCAGAGAACGGAGAAAUGUGGCUGUGUUCCAAAAUGAAUACUAGUACCAGGGAGGUAGGAUGGCACCCUACAUUUUCUCUCUCCUAAUCUGUUUUUUAUCUCAUUGCCUUUUCAUCUUGUCCUUCUACAUCUGUAAGCUCCUUUUUCAUCUAGGCAAAAA
Molecule: long non-coding RNA, 656 nt
Filed under: Fukomys damarensis (Damara mole-rat)
Lineage: Eukaryota; Metazoa; Chordata; Mammalia; Rodentia; Bathyergidae
Description: lncRNA (ENSFDAG00000022160.1)
Source: RNAcentral